GGUCCCUUGGCCCAGUUGGUUAAGGCGUGGUGCUAAUACAACGCCAAGAUCAGCAGUUCGAUCCUGCUAGGGACCA
Molecule: transfer RNA, 76 nt
Filed under: Metschnikowia aff. pulcherrima
Lineage: Eukaryota; Fungi; Ascomycota; Pichiomycetes; Serinales; Metschnikowiaceae
Description: tRNA-Ile
Source: RNAcentral